UCAAGCUAAUAAGAGCAUAGGGUGGAUGCCUUGGCACUAGGAGCCGAUGAAGGUCGUGAUAAGCUGCGAAAAGCUUUGGGUAGGCGCAAAUAGCCUUUGAUCCAGAGAUUACCGAAUGGGGAAACCUGGCUGAGAAAAGCUCAGUCACUGCAUACUGAAUACAUAGGUAUGCAGGGGGAACUCGGGGAACUGAAACAUCUAAGUACCCGAAGGAAGAGAAAGAAAAAUCGAUUACCAAAGUAGCGGCGAGCGAAAUGGUAACAGGCCAAACCGAAGGACCUAGUUCUUCGGGGUUGCGGACUGCAACAUGUAGUAUGAUAUCUAGCCGAAGUGUUUUGGGAAAGCACAGCGAAGAGGGUGAAACUCCCGUAGGCGAAAGGUUGAUUACGCUAGCAGUAUCCAGAGUAACACGAGACACGAGAAACCUUGUGUGAAGCCGGGGGGACCACCCCCCAAGCCUAAAUACUACCUAGUGACCGAUAGCGCAUAGUACUGUGAAGGAAAGGUGAAAAGAACCCCGGGAGGGGAGUGAAAGAGAACCUGAAACCCUAUGUUUACAAGCAGUGGAAGCACCUUACGUGUGCGACCGCGUACUUUUUGUAUAACGGUCCAGCGAGUUACGAUUCUUGGCAAGGUUAAGCACUUAAGGUGUGGAGCCGAAGGGAAGCCGAGUCUUAAUAGGGCGUUAAGUCAAUGAUCGUAGACCCGAAACCGGGUGACCUAUCCAUGUGCAGGUUGAAGUUACCGUAAAAGGUAAUGGAGGACCGAACUCACAUCAGUUGAAAAUGGUGGAGAUGACGUGUGGAUAGCGGAGAAAUUCCAAUCGAACCCGGAGAUAGCUGGUUCUCCUCGAAAUAGCUUUAGGGCUAGCCUCGAGAAAGUCUAAUGGAGGUAGAGCACUGAAUUGCCUAGGGCGCUUCACAGCGUACCGAAGUAUAUCAAACUCCGAAUGCCAUAUAGAUGAUUCUCGGGAGUCAGACUAUGGGAGAUAAGUUUCAUAGUCAAAAGGGAAAGAGCCCAGACCGUCAGCUAAGGUCCCAAAAUAUAUGUUAAGUGGUAAAGGAUGUGGGAUUUCACAGACAACUAGGAUGUUGGCUUAGAAGCAGCCAUUCAUUCAAAGAGUGCGUAAUAGCUCACUAGUCGAGAGAUCCUGCGCCGAAAAUGUAACGGGGCUAAAACAUAUUACCGAAGCUACGGGUUGAUAGAUUAAUCUAUCAGCGGUAGAGGAGCAUUCCUAACACGACGAAGCUGUACCGUAAGGAGCAGUGGAGAGUUAGGAAGAGAGAAUGCUGGAAUGAGUAGCGAGAGAGAAGUGAGAAUCUUCUCGGCCGAAUAUCUAAGGUUUCCAAAGUAAAGCUGAUCUUCUUUGGGUAAGUCGGGACCUAAGGUGAGGGCGAAAGCCGUAGCCGAUGGACAACAGGUUGAUAUUCCUGUACUACGUAUAAACAGAACUGUGGGGACACGGAAGGAUAGGGAAAUCCAGGAAUGGAAAAACUGGUGCAAGCACAAAGGCUGAAUGGUAGGCAAAUCCGCCAUUCGCGAAGGUUGAAGUGUUACGCGGAUCGAAAUUAAAGUAGAGAAGUUCCUGAAUCCAUGCCGUCGAGAAAAGCCGCUAUAGUUUUAUACGUACCCGUACCGCAAACCGACACAGGUAGAUGAGGAGAGAAUCCUAAGGCCGACGGGAGAAGCGUUGUUAAGGAACUCGGCAAAAUGACCCCGUAACUUCGGGAGAAGGGGUGCCCCAUGCAAAUGGGGCCGCAGAGAAUAGGCCCAAGCGACUGUUUAGCAAAAACACAGGUUUAUGCAAAACCGAAAGGUGAAGUAUAUGAGCUGACGCCUGCCCGGUGCUGGAAGGUUAAGGGGAGUGCUUAGACUUUAGGUCGAAGGUGCGAACUUAAGCCCCAGUAAACGGCGGCCGUAACUAUAACGGUCCUAAGGUAGCGAAAUUCCUUGUCGGGUAAGUUCCGACCCGCACGAAAGGCGUAACGAUUUGG
Molecule: ribosomal RNA, 1994 nt
Filed under: marine sediment metagenome
Description: bacterial LSU rRNA
Rfam family: Bacterial large subunit ribosomal RNA
Source: RNAcentral